This 429-nucleotide ribosomal RNA is filed under the name uncultured archaeon. Its description in RNAcentral is "bacterial SSU rRNA". It matches the Rfam family "Archaeal small subunit ribosomal RNA", at positions 474 to 903 of the family's 1478-position model. The record is from RNAcentral.
UACCUGCAGCUCAAGUGGUGGCCGUUAUUAUUGGGCCUAAAACGUCCGUAGCCGGUUUAUUAAAUGCCUGGGUAAAUCGGACCGCUCAACGGUUCGAAUUCCGGGUAGACUGAUAGACUUGAGACUGGGAGAAGCUAGAGGUACUCCUGGGGUAGAGGUGAAAUUCUGUAAUCCUAGGGGGACCACCAGUGGCGAAGGCGUCUAGCUAGAACGGGUCUGACGGUGAGGGACGAAGCCCUGGGGCGCAAACCGGAUUAGAUACCCGGGUAGUCCAGGGUGUAAACGCUGCUUGCUUGAUGUUAGUCGGGCUCCGAGCCCGAUUAGUGUCGGAGAGAAGUUGUUAAGCAAGCUGCCUGGGAAGUACGGCCGCAAGACUGAAACUUAAAGGAAUUGGCGGGGGAGCACAGCAACGGGUGGAGCGUGCGGUUU